This is a long non-coding RNA of Cyprinus carpio (common carp), 1326 nucleotides long. The record is from Ensembl. NCBI's taxonomy places the organism in Eukaryota, Metazoa, Chordata, Actinopteri, Cypriniformes, Cyprinidae.
AAAAUUAUGUCAUGACCGUUAAAAAAGUUUGUUCGAUAUAGUGUGAAAUUGAAUAUGGGUCAUAUGAAUGAAAUUCAGUCAUAUUCGGAUGCAGCAUAUGUCUCAGUAAUCUCUCUAUUAUUUUUGUUAUUUCAGAUCAUACCCUCGCUACGGCAGUGCUGGAAACACAAUUAUCAGGUUAUUCUGUCAUAUGAUGACUCGGCUGCUUCUGGAUAUGAGGAGCUCUGGCCACAGUGUGAAUAUUGGUGGGCGAACACAUCAGAUCCAAGCCAUGUCAUAUCCUACCUGGAGGAGCGGAAAGCGGAAGGAAGACCAGAGUGAUGCGGACAGUUUGUGUCUGAUCUGCCAUGACAACCUACGCAAAGGAGGAGGAGUUAUCAGAGAGCUUCACUGUUCCCACAGCUUCCACACUGAGUGCAUAGAGGAAUGGCAAUGGACUAAGCAGACCUGUCCCACGUGUCAAAAGCAUGUUGCCAUGCCAGAGCCCCUGUACUGGACAUCAACCAGAGUAAUAGUGCCCUGAGCUCUUCCAGCACCCAUUCAAACUAGCUUGGACAUCAGAUGGGUAACCAAAACAUCAGACACGAUGGUGCAUAACUAACAACGCAGCUAUUUCCUACAAAAAAAAAAAAGGUGGUCAUAUGACUAAUCACAAAGAGGAGAUUUUGCUAUUCAGGAGAAACAGAUUGGUAGAGCAUUUCUUUGUAUAUAGGCUAAAUGACUUUAACAUCACUAAAUGUAAAAUUGUUUUUUAAAAUCAUAUUUACAUAUUAAGAAAAUGUUAUUUUCUAAUGUGUAUAUCUUUUUCUGCAGAAAUGUAAGCAAACUGAACAAGUUGUAUGAAGUAUGAAUUUUAAAAUGUACCUCACUAUAUUUGUAAGUAAUUCAAAGUAGGCCUACUGGCAAUGUUCUGUUUUCAAAACAUGUAACUAAUGUAAUACUAUCAACAAAAGUGCAGGCCUGUAUUUACCAGGUGUGUACUUGAGUAAAUGUGCUUCUUUACUAUUCUUAAAGGGUUAGUUCACCCAAAAAUUCACUCAGAUUCCAUCAAAAAUAUCUUAAUUUGUGUUCUGAAGAUGAACGAAGCUCUUAUGGGGUUGAAAUGACAUGAGGGUGAGUAAUUAAUGACAAUUUUCAUUUUUGGGUGAACUAACCCUUUAAGUACUACUUGGGGAAUUUGAACGUUAUUUUAGUUCAUACAGUAUUUCACUGGUCAUCCUGACAGAAUUAUGAUGAAUCUGACUGAAACAAGUCAAAAUCACAUUCCUGUGAUGUUUACUAAACUUUUAUUGAAAACAGCCAAUAAAACCUGUUUUAAUGUCGUCA